GGGAGCAAACAGGAUUAGGUACCCUGGUAGUCCACGCCCUAAACGAUGCGAACUGGAUGUUGGUCUCAACUCGGAGAUCAGUGUCGAAAGUAACGCGUUAAGUUCGCCGCCUAGGGAGUACGGUCGCAAGACUGAAACUCAAAGGAAUUGACGGGGGCCCCGCACAAGCGGUGGAGUAUGUGGUUUAAUUCGAUGCAACGCGAAGAACCUUACCUGGCCUUGACAUGUCCGGAAUCCUGCAGAGAUGCCGGGAGUGCCUUCGGGAAUCGGAACACAGGUGCUGCAUGGCUGUCGUCAGCUCGUGUCGUGAGAUGUUGGGUUAAGUCCCGCAACGAGCGCAACCCUUGUCCUUAGUUGCCAGCGAGUAAAGUCGGGAACUCUAAGGAGACUGCCGGUGACAAACCGGAGGAAGGUGGGGAUGACGUCAAGUCCUCAUGGCCCUUACGGCCAGGGCUACACACGUACUACAAUGGUCGGUACAGAGGGUUGCAAUACCGCGAGGUGGAGCCAAUCCCAGAAAGCCGAUCCCAGUCCGGAUCGAAGUCUGCAACUCGAUUCGUGAAGUCGGAAUCGCUAGUAACCGCGGAUCAGCUAUGCCGCGGUGAAUACGUCCCGNGCCUUNCA
This 624-nucleotide ribosomal RNA is filed under the name uncultured bacterium. Its description in RNAcentral is "bacterial SSU rRNA". It matches the Rfam family "Bacterial small subunit ribosomal RNA", at positions 764 to 1385 of the family's 1533-position model. The record is from RNAcentral.